RNAcentral lists this ribosomal RNA (296 nucleotides) under uncultured microorganism. RNAcentral describes it as "partial 16S ribosomal RNA". It matches the Rfam family "Bacterial small subunit ribosomal RNA", at positions 505 to 796 of the family's 1533-position model. The record is from RNAcentral.
GUGCCAGCAGCCGCGGUAAUACGUAGGGUGCGAGCGUUAAUCGGAAUUACUGGGCGUAAAGCGAGCGCAGACGGUUACUUAAGCAGGAUGUGAAAUCCCCGGGCUCAACCUGGGAACUGCGUUCUGAACUGGGUGACUAGAGUGUGUCAGAGGGAGGUAGAAUUCCACGUGUAGCAGUGAAAUGCGUAGAGAUGUGGAGGAAUUACCGAUGGCGAAGGGCAGCCUCCUGGGAUAACACUGACGUUCUUGCUCGAAAGCGUGGGUACGAAAACAAGGAUUAAAUACCCUGGUAGUCC